Molecule: non-coding RNA, 1478 nt
Organism: Sapajus apella (tufted capuchin)
Lineage: Eukaryota; Metazoa; Chordata; Mammalia; Primates; Cebidae
Source: the annotation of a RefSeq genome assembly
GAGACUUGUUUUAGAUUGGCUGGGCCAACUCUGUGUUUCCUGUAGAAAUGUUUGAACAUAUGAGGCAGCAAAGCAGAACGUUUAUCUUGUGAACCGUUCUCCAUGUUUCAGACAUAAGAUUUCUGUUCUCAGUGAAUUUACGUGACAGAGCAAUGGAGACACUCUUGGGCCUGCUCAUCCUUUGGCUGCAGCUGCAAUGGGUGAGCAGUAAACAGGAGGUGACGCAGAUUCCUGCAGCUCUGAGUGUCCCAGAAGGAGACAGCUUGGUUCUCAACUGCAGUUUCACUGAUAGCACUAUUUACUACCUCCAGUGGUUUAGGCAGGAUCCUGGGAAAGGUCUCACAUCUCUCUUGUUAAUUCAGUCAAGUCAGAGAGAGCAAACAAAUGGAAGACUUAAUGCCUCGCUGGAUAAAUCAUCAGGACAUAGUACUUUAUACAUUGCAGCUUCUCAACCUGGUGACUCAGCCACCUACCUCUGUGCUGUGAGACACAGUGUACAGCAGGCACCUGCAACCAAUACCCAAACUCUACAGUUGAGGCUCUAAUCAUAUGUUUUAUUGUGAGACUCAGGAAUGUUUUUGCAUUAACAGGUCUUCUAAACUGACACUGUCACUACAUAGAAGCAAUUAAAUACACAAAACUUGAAUUAAUAAUCUGAAGUUAAACUAUGAAUUCUCUCAUCUUUAGAUUUUUAUCAAUUUUAAUAUAAAUAAUAUUUUUAUUUCAAUUAAUUUACAUGCCAUACAGUUCAGUCUUUUAAAGUGAAAAAUUAAGUGGUAUUUAGCAGAUUCACAAUGUUCUGCAGCUUUUAUCUCUGUGUAGUUUCAAAAUUUUUUAACAUCCCAAAAGAAAACCACAUACUCAUUGAGCAGUUACCUUAUCCACCUCCCCCCAGCUGUUGGCAGCCAGAAACCUGCUUUCAGUCUCUAUGGAAUUGCCUAUUCUGUACAUUUCAUAUAAAUGGAAUAAUAUAGUAUGUAGUGGCAUUUCUGUAUGGCUUCUCUCACAUGGCAUAAUUUUCUGAGGUUUAUUCAACUUAGGAAGGACCAGAGAAAGCUAAAUAUGCACAUCUAACCAAUCACAUAGGAUACCUCACUUUUAGUUAGCCUGCUUAUAUCUUCCCCAUGCAAGAGCCUCCAAUCAGGGCACACCUGAAGCUUUGUUAGUUUUCUUCCACUCUAAAGCUUCCCUACUCCUCUGCCUAUCUUUAAGUCUCUGACAAAACAUGAGGGACGGUAGCUGACUCCUUUGGUAUAGCAAGCUCUGAAUAAAUUGCCUUUGCUUUUCUCAUUUAGGUGGUCCUCACUUAUCUCCACAGAUUCCUUGUAAAGACACUAAAUUUUUCUUUCCUAUCAAGUUCUCACUUUCAUAAGAGUCACUUUGCACAUGAAAAAUUAAUGAAUCACCAUAAUAAAUGUUAAAUCUGAAGGGCAGCUUGUCCUCCAUUCAGAUAGAUCAUUGAAGCUUACAUCAAUCAG